Molecule: long non-coding RNA, 304 nt
Filed under: Lathyrus oleraceus (garden pea)
Lineage: Eukaryota; Viridiplantae; Streptophyta; Magnoliopsida; Fabales; Fabaceae
Description: Pisum sativum (pea) long non-coding RNA (PSAT_LNC031166)
Source: RNAcentral
CUAAUUUUUUCUUAGACCAUCCUUUCGGGUUUUUAGUCUACCGGGAUACCCAUUUAUGCAUAAGUCGCCCUUUCGAUUUUCAACUUAUUAGAUUUUUUUUUCUCUUUUUCUUCUUCAUGCGUAGUAUUUUUUUACUACAUCCGCGUUCACGAGGGACGGAAUAUCUUCACCAUCCAUAGUUGGAAGGAUUAAGGCCCCUCCAUAGAAAACAUUUCUUAUAAUAUACGGGCCUUCGUAGCUUGGCGUCCAUUUGCCCCUAGGGUCAGUAUGAAUCGGUAGAAUCUUCUUCAAGACUAAGUCUUCA